Long non-coding RNA from Pezoporus occidentalis (night parrot), 1052 nucleotides. RefSeq lists it as uncharacterized. Lineage: Eukaryota; Metazoa; Chordata; Aves; Psittaciformes; Psittacidae. The transcript is spliced from 2 exons. The record is from RefSeq and is a predicted model, not a curated record.
GCAAGCAGCACAAGGCAUGGAUCCAUCGUUUCUGCAAUAAGUAACGGGCAGUGCCGCUGGCCCCCAGCCGUGGGGCUCCGGUCCAGAGCAGCCCUGAGGCGGCCCCAGAGUGACAGGGCCAGGCCCCGUUUCUGCUGCUAGCAAGAAGCCGUGCUGGGUGGCAGCGCCUGGGGUGGGACAGGGGAGCCCUUCCUGCUGGAAGAGUGCCCCAGCCAGGGCUCAUGAGCCUCUGGGCAUCUGUGCAGCAUUUCCAUCCUGGCUCUAUUUUGCCACGUUCCCUAAGGUGUAACCUUUUGCUCCAGCCCUGGCAGUCUCUCCCCUCCCUUCUUAGGCCCUUUCCCAUGUUGGGGAGCUGCGGUGCUGUCUCCCCUGGUGCCGUUCAGCGGGAGCGGGGCAGAGGCUGCUGGAGCCAGGGGUCCCCUGAGAGCUGCUCUCCCCUGCCCCGGGGGUCCUCACCACCCCCAGGACGGCUUCGCUGCUGGGUCUUAUACUCGCUGAGCCUUGUAAUUGUGUGUGUUGGGUGCAGUCGAAAUUACCCAAAACCCCACAAAUACUGAAACGUUCUUUAAUGAAAUCACACUUUGUUUUUAUACUGGAGCUGUUACAGCACCUCCUCUGCCUUCUAAACUGCAAUGUACACGGCUGUGACUAAACCUGUUCUCUUUGGGUUUUUUUCUUCCCGAAGGAGGAGGACCACAGAGAUGCCGAGUGGCCUUUGGGGCCACCAGCGGCAAAACAGCGCCAUCACUGAUCAUUUUUGAAGACUGUUCUUGUUCUAUGUUUGUUCUACAGUUGUUCUAAUAUUCUUGUUUAAUAUACUGUUCUUGUUUUGUUCUUAUACUCUAGUUGUUUUGGUUUUUUAUCGUGGCUUUGUGUUGUUAUACUGUUGUUCUGUUGUUGUAAGAAUAGUAAACUAGUAUUUUUACCAUAAUUUUACUAUCAUUUUCGCAUUUUUUUACUGUCAAUAUAUAAUUUCCACCCCUCCUACUACAUCCCCCACCCCCUGUCUUUAGGUCCCCCACUUAAAAUAAACAGACUAUGUUCACAUCUGC